UCCGGCUUAUGGCACGGCAGUCUCCUGAAAAAUAUAUAAUUCAGGACGAGGGUUGCGCUCGAUCACGGACUUAACCGUACACCUCAAGGCUCGAGCUGACGACAACCAUGCAGCACCUGUCUUAGCGCUCCCUUGCGGGCACCCCUACAUUUCUGUAAGGUUCGCUAGAUGUCAAGACCUGGUAAGGUUCUUCGUUUGCUGUCGAAUUGAACCACAUGUUCCACCGCUUGUGUGGGCCCCCGUCUAUUCCUUUGAGUUUUAGCCUUGCGGCCGUACUACUCAGGCGGAGAACUUAACGCGUUAGCUAAGGCACAGGCAGGAUCGACUCCGCCUACACCGAGUUCUCAUCGUUUAGGGCGUGGACUA
This 366-nucleotide unclassified non-coding RNA is filed under the name uncultured bacterium. RNAcentral's name for it is "contains 16S-23S intergenic spacer region". The record is from RNAcentral.